RNAcentral lists this ribosomal RNA (319 nucleotides) under uncultured eukaryote. Its description in RNAcentral is "partial 18S ribosomal RNA". It matches the Rfam family "Eukaryotic small subunit ribosomal RNA", at positions 1470 to 1796 of the family's 1831-position model. The record is from RNAcentral.
CCCUUAGAUGGUCUGGGCGGCACGCGCGCUACAAUGAUGCAUUCAGAAAGUCUUCUGACCUUAGAAGGUUGGGUAUUCUCCAAAGUGCAUCGUGAUGGGAAUAGUUUAUUGCAAUUUUUAAUCUUGAACGAGGAAUUUCUAGUAAAUACAGGUCAUCAACUUGUGUUGAUUACGUCCCUGCCCUUUGUACACACCGCCCGUCGCUCCUACUGAUUGAGUGUCUCGGUGAAUUCUUUGAUUCUCUGUCGAUUCAGUUCACUGAUCCGACGGUGGAAAGUUGAGUGAACUUCGUCACUUAGAGGAAGGAGAAGUCGUAACA